Molecule: ribosomal RNA, 501 nt
Filed under: uncultured bacterium
Lineage: Bacteria
Description: partial 16S ribosomal RNA
Rfam family: Bacterial small subunit ribosomal RNA
Source: RNAcentral
AUUGAACGCUGGCGGCAUGCCUUACACAUGCAAGUCGAACGGCAGCAUAGGAGCUUGCUCCUGAUGGCGAGUGGCGAACGGGUGAGUAAUAUAUCGGAACGUGCCCUAGAGUGGGGGAUAACUAGUCGAAAGACUAGCUAAUACCGCAUACGAUCUACGGAUGAAAGUGGGGGAUCGCAAGACCUCAUGCUCCUGGAGCGGCCGAUACCUGAUUAGCUAGUUGGUGGGGGAAAAGCCUACCAAGGCAACGAUCAGUAGCUGGUCUGAGAGGACAACCAGCCACACUGGGACGUAGACACGGCCCAGACUCCUACGGGAGGCAGCAGUGGGGAAUUUUGGACAAUGGGGCAACCCUGAUCCAGCAAUGCCGCGUGAGUGAAGAGGGCCUUCGGGUUGUAAAGCUCUUUUGUCAGGGAAGAAACGGUAGUAGCGAAUAACUAUUACUAAUGACGGUACCUGAAGAAUAAGCACCGGCUAACUACGUGCCAGCCGCCGCGGUAA